RNAcentral lists this long non-coding RNA (1274 nucleotides) under Junco hyemalis (dark-eyed junco). RNAcentral describes it as "lncRNA (ENSJHYG00000010326.1)". Lineage: Eukaryota; Metazoa; Chordata; Aves; Passeriformes; Passerellidae. The record is from RNAcentral.
CAGCAACGUGAUGAGAAUUAUAAAUCUUCUCUGUGUUAGACCAGGUAGGAUUUAUAAAGUUUGUGAAGUUCUGCUUUAGUUUUUUCCAUUCUAGGCCCUGCAGUGACCUUACUGUUGGCUGAUUCCAGGGAGCCACCUCAUUAUUCUGACUUGAAACUUCUCCAUCUCCAAAAUCAGAGUUACUCCUGUGUGUCUUCACUGGAAGAAUGCACAUCACAGUCCUGCUCUGACAACGUAGGCCCAGGGAAAUGAAGAAGAGCAACUUUUCCAUUAUUGUAAACUGCAAAAAGUGUUCCCCAGUGAAAACUACAAUUUCACUUUGGUUUGAUGAGCAUGCUGUGAUUCCACUGUGCUCUCAUGAACUGUCAGCUAUGAAUCCGUAUGGGAAUAAUUUCAUUGUGAGAAGCCGGCUUCCAUUCUAUCCUGAAAAAAAGCUGCAUGAAAAUCACAGAAAGCUACAGAAGAAAGUACCAGUCAUUGUUUGAAAGCAUUGUGGCCUUUGGAGAUGGAAAACAGAACAUGAAUUUGCCUCCAAUUUUUAUAAGCUUCUAGAAAUAUUAAUGAAUGAGAAACAAAUGCAAAAAUUUACUUAAAAAAAAACAAACCUCAAGACCUCAUUGCUUUUACAAUGAACAGACCUGGCAAAAAGGUCCUUAAUUAUCAUGAGUAUCAGUGUUUAAACAGGUAGUGCUCUUCCAAGCAUUUUUUGGUUGUCAGCUAGAUCAGUGUUUCUCCUCACUUGCUAACAAUGAAGUUAUCAACCACUGGAACAAAUGAUGAAGAGGAGCAGUGACCUUACAAUUUCUUGAAGUCUGCAAACUGAGAGGGGUUGGUAUGCCUCAGCACACAAUGGACACACAGCUGGGUGAAAUUAUAUUGUGCUACAGAGAAGUACAUGAAAUAUCCUAUGUGGUCCUUUCUAGCUUUAGAGACAUAGUCUAUAAUUUCAGAAAGACCUUACAAAGAACUCUUAGAAGUAGUGAUAACCAGAGCACCAAUCUGAAUGCAUCUUCUGAUUUUGGGUUGAUUAUGCCAAAGUAUUAAAGAAAUUACAGAUUGUAAUGUUUCUGUGUGUUUCUGUCACAAAACCUCAUAUUACUAGCAUUAUUUUGCAAUAUUGGAAAUUUGGUUUUGGGGACUAAAGAGACCCUUCCUCUUCCCAGAAGAGCAGAAUGUACUUUAGUUCAUGAAAGUGUGUAUAAACAAGUAAGCAUGCAGGCUGCUGUUUCCUGACCUGAUCUAUUUCAGUCAAUAAAAUCAAUAAACUAGACUCA